UACGUAGGGUGCAAGCGUUGUCCGGAAUUAUUGGGCGUAAAGCGCGUGUAGGCGGCUUUGCAAGUCGGGUGUGAAAGCCCUCAGCUCAACUGAGGAAGUGCGCCCGAAACUGCAGAGCUUGAGUACCGGAGAGGAUGGCGGAAUUCCCCAAGUAGAGGUGAAAUUCGUAGAUAUGGGGAGGAACACCGGUGGCGAAGGCGGCCAUCUGGACGGAUACUGACGCUGAGACGCGAAAGCGUGGGGAGCAAACAGG
RNAcentral lists this ribosomal RNA (253 nucleotides) under uncultured bacterium. RNAcentral's name for it is "partial 16S ribosomal RNA". It matches the Rfam family "Bacterial small subunit ribosomal RNA", at positions 524 to 776 of the family's 1533-position model. The record is from RNAcentral.